Molecule: non-coding RNA, 75 nt
Organism: Trichonephila inaurata madagascariensis
Lineage: Eukaryota; Metazoa; Arthropoda; Arachnida; Araneae; Nephilidae
Source: the annotation of a GenBank genome assembly
CCCGCAUGUGGGUCUAGUGGUUAGUAUUCCUGGCUCUCACACCCAGGGGCCCGGGUUCUAUUCCCGGCAUUGGGA